GACGAACGCUGGCGGCGUGCUUAACACAUGCAAGUCGAACGGUGAUGUCAGAGCUUGCUCUGGCGGAUCAGUGGCGAACGGGUGAGUAACACGUGAGUAACCUGCCCCCGACUCUGGGAUAACUGCUAGAAAUGGUAGCUAAUACCGGAUAUGACGAUUGGCCGCAUGGUCUGGUCGUGGAAAGAAUUUCGGUUGGGGAUGGACGCGCGGCCUAUCAGGUUGUUGGUGAGGUAAUGGCUCACCAAGCCUACGACGGGUAGCCGGCCUGAGAGGGUGACCGGCCACACUGGGACUGAGACACGGCCCAGACUCCUACGGGAGGCAGCAGUGGGGAAUAUUGCACAAUGGGCGAAAGCCUGAUGCAGCAACGCCGCGUGAGGGAUGACGGCCUUCGGGUUGUAAACCUCUUUUAGUAGGGAAGAAGCGAAAGUGACGGUACCUGCAGAAAAAGCACCGGCUAACUACGUGCCAGCAGCCGCGGUAAUACGUAGGGUGCAAGCGUUGUCCGGAAUUAUUGGGCGUAAAGAGCUCGUAGGCGGUUUGUCGCGUCUGCUGUGAAAUCCCGAGGCUCAACCUCGGGUCUGCAGUGGGUACGGGCAGACUAGAGUGCGGUAGGGGAGAUUGGAAUUCCUGGUGUAGCGGUGGAAUGCGCAGAUAUCAGGAGGAACACCGAUGGCGAAGGCAGAUCUCUGGGCCGUAACUGACGCUGAGGAGCGAAAGCAUGGGGAGCGAACAGGAUUAGAUACCCUGGUAGUCCAUGCCGUAAACGUUGGGAACUAGAUGUGGGGACCAUUCCACGGUCUCCGUGUCGCAGCUAACGCAUUAAGUUCCCCGCCUGGGGAGUACGGCCGCAAGGCUAAAACUCAAAGGAAUUGACGGGGGCCCGCACAAGCGGCGGAGCAUGCGGAUUAAUUCGAUGCAACGCGAAGAACCUUACCAAGGCUUGACAUAUACCGGAAACAUGCAGAAAUGUGUGCCCCGCAAGGUCGGUAUACAGGUGGUGCAUGGUUGUCGUCAGCUCGUGUCGUGAGAUGUUGGGUUAAGUCCCGCAACGAGCGCAACCCUCGUUCUAUGUUGCCAGCACGUAAUGGUGGGAACUCAUAGGAGACUGCCGGGGUCAACUCGGAGGAAGGUGGGGAUGACGUCAAAUCAUCAUGCCCCUUAUGUCUUGGGCUUCACGCAUGCUACAAUGGCCGGUACAAAGGGCUGCGAUACCGUAAGGUGGAGCGAAUCCCAAAAAGCCGGUCUCAGUUCGGAUUGAGGUCUGCAACUCGACCUCAUGAAGUCGGAGUCGCUAGUAAUCGCAGAUCAGCAACGCUGCGGUGAAUACGUUCCCGGGCCUUGUACACACCGCCCGUCAAGUCAUGAAAGUCGGUAACACCCGAAGCCAGUGGCCUAACCGCAAGGGAGGAGCUGUCGAAGGUGGGAUCGGUGAUUAGGACUAAGUCGUAACAAGGUAGCCGUACCGGAA
Molecule: ribosomal RNA, 1471 nt
Filed under: Clavibacter michiganensis
Lineage: Bacteria; Bacillati; Actinomycetota; Actinomycetes; Micrococcales; Microbacteriaceae
Also listed under: 1 other name
Description: 16S ribosomal RNA
Rfam family: Bacterial small subunit ribosomal RNA
Source: RNAcentral